CUGAAGAUGAGCCUAUGCUUCAUCGAAAGCAACUUAAAACUUCCAAACAGACCAGUUAUUCACCUAAGUAACCUCAACAGGUAGAUGAAAACUGUUUGCUAGUUCGCAGUUAUGCUGCUCUCUGGCUCUCCAGACUUGCACUCCCACAAACCAAGAAAAUGGUGAGCUUUUCUCUUCCAGUUGGAAGAGAGCAGGAGGAAGGCUUGGUUCUAGUAAUACUCAGAGUGCUGUGCAUUCGUUUUGUUUCUAUGACUACAUCUUUUCGAGCCCUUCUGUAGAAGCAGAACUGGCAAAGUGGAAUUAUAAUCAUACCUUUUAUUAGGGGAUAAUUAGCAUAUCUUGCAUAAUUAUUUGAACGGCAUUUUGAAAGGGACAAAUUGUAAAUGCUAGAGUGACAGAGCCUAGAUCUGUGAUAGUACAGAGACAGUGACUAAGGGCUGGACAGAAUUUACCCUUCAGCACUGCUUUGAUUUUUUACCUUAGAAUUUCAUUCUUCAUGGAUUUUUUCAUGGAUUUUUUUUUCCCUAGAGUGGAAAUGUUGUUGUUCUUCAGCUGGAUGUGAAUCACAGUAAGCCAUUCUCAGAAAAGCUUUUCAUGCAAAUCAGUUCUCACUUACCCUCUUGCAUAACACUCAGUGAAGUAAUCAACCUAAAUUUCUUGCAAGACAGGCAUUAUUAUCUUCUUUUAAAUAGUAGGGAGGAUCACUAAGGCAAUAGUAAUUGAGGGUCAUGGGAGUAUCUCGAUAAAUAGAUCACAUAAGCUUUGCUUUUGAUAUGCAAAAAAUACAUUAACAUGCAUAUUGCAGAGUUGCAUAAUACAGUAUUCACCACAAAUUGGGCACUGAUACAGAAUAACCUUCCAUAAACAAAAUGGAAGAGUGAAAAGAAAGACACUCAGAGAACAGAAGACUUGUGAAUGCAUCCCCCUAUUUAAACCUUCUUCAAAGACUAUAACCAAAGUAUAUUGUCUCCUACAGGUCAACUCCCAGUCAGCUCUUUUCUCACUGGUUGGACUGUCUCAGUCAAAAGAUCUCAAGCAAUCCUACAGACCUCCACAGCUUACCUUCCAGAGAUGCUGUCCAAGAAGAUGAGGAAUACCAGCAGUUGAGUGGAGUUCUGGAAGCUUUCUUGUCACUUAACAUUGGGAGAUGUUGGUGCAGAGAGAGGCAGAUGAAAAUGAUCCCGUUUUCACUGUGCCUCUGCUAGCAGAGUGGUGAGGGGGUCAGGUGUGAAGGACAUAUUAGUGGAGGAAUAGCCAAUCCAGUUUAAUACUUGCAGUCUCUAAGAAGAUUAAAGAGUAUUGUAUAGAUUUGGAUCUAUAUCUGAAGCCAAUAUCUUCAUCUGCUACUACAGAUUAUUCUCAGUAUGAGGGCAGGUGCUUAUUUCCAUUACAAACUAUAAUAU
Molecule: long non-coding RNA, 1403 nt
Filed under: Chrysolophus pictus (golden pheasant)
Lineage: Eukaryota; Metazoa; Chordata; Aves; Galliformes; Phasianidae
Description: lncRNA (ENSCPIG00010010655.1)
Source: RNAcentral